CUCGACAUACUCUCAACGUCGUCGCCGUCCGCCCACGCUCACCACCGCAGCUUGUAUGGAUACUCCAACGAUUCUCUAACGUGAUACAACAAUGGUUGAAGAUGAAAACAAAUGUAUAGCCCUUGACCUUGAAGACGAGGACCAUGGUUUACUAUCUACGAUAAGUUUUUUCUCUCAGGCAUCCGAGCAUGAGAAGAAUGUUGAUGAGCCUAUUGGCAUUGAAAAUGGUGAAGGUAAUUUUGUUGUUGAUCCAUAUAUCGGAAUGGAGUUCUCUACUCAUGAAGAAGCAUAUAAUUUCUACAAUGCAUACGCCAGACUUAAGGGAUUUGGUGUUCGCAAGGGUCACACAACUUGGUCGAGAAAGAAAGAUACAAUCAUAUCUAGAAUAUUUGUAUGUGACAAUGAAGGCUUUAAAUUUUUAAA
Molecule: long non-coding RNA, 423 nt
Organism: Asparagus officinalis (garden asparagus)
Lineage: Eukaryota; Viridiplantae; Streptophyta; Magnoliopsida; Asparagales; Asparagaceae
Exons: 3
Source: RefSeq, a predicted model, not a curated record